GAGAGGGGGCCCUUCCAGCUUACUGACCGGAGUUGUUGGUUGAGCUGGUUUCAGGGGUGUGGCGUUCCAUGGGUCUUGCCCCUCUCUGCCCUCCCUAUCCUCAGGGCCAAGUGUGUGACCAGAGCUCGGGUGUGUGCCUCCCUUCACAGAUAUGUCCUCCUCUUCAUGAGAGCGGGGUACCUGCUUCUGAAGGAUGUAGGAGGCCAACGGGAACGCAGGGGUCCAACCGCCAGGAGAACCAGGGGAGGAACAGCCCCAUUUAGUUCUGAUGUUUUUUCUCUCCCCUCAGCAUGUGGACGAUGCCAUUCCAUCACCUCCCUCUAUAACUGCCAGCGAGAUAUCUCUGUCAACUGUCUCGACUCUCCGAGGGAUUGUUAUGCCAAGGUCGUGGAGUCCCCAGAGACCACCAGAGACCACCAGAAGUCCAACUCAUAUGCAAAAGCAAAGAGUCUUUAUUCAAGCUCAUGCUCAGACCCUCUGGUCUCUCCAGUGGACUGAAAGGUCCUGAGCAGGUGUAGGACAAGAGGCUGCUUCACAGCAGGUGAUUAUGAUUUGCCUCGUGAUCCAGCAGAGGUGUGGUUUUGCCAGCUGCAGAUAGUUUCUGCAAGUGUGUGACUUUUGGAAUUCAGUGAAGUUUUGAGAAGUAUAAAUGUCUGAAUGCCAGAAGAGGGAACGGGCACAGAGGAUGCUG
Molecule: long non-coding RNA, 691 nt
Filed under: Mus musculus (house mouse)
Lineage: Eukaryota; Metazoa; Chordata; Mammalia; Rodentia; Muridae
Description: predicted gene, 38642
Source: RNAcentral